AUGGAUUCCCAGGGGCAUUGGAACAAUACUGCGAUGACAGGGUUCAUUUUACUGGGCUUAACAAAUGAUCCAAUUCUUCGAGUCAUCCUCUUCACGAUCAUCCUUUGUAUCUACCUGGUGACCAUAUGUGGCAAUCUUAGCACAGUCAUUCUUAUCAGAAUCUCUUCUCAGCUCCAUCAUCCUAUGUAUUUUUUGCUGAGCCACCUGGCCUUUGCUGACAUAGGCUAUUCAUCUUCUGUUACACCCAAUAUGCUUGCAAAUUUCCUGGUGGAGAGAAAUACCAUCUCCUGUCUUGGAUGUGCCAUUCAACUUGGUUCAGUUGUUUUCUUUGGGUCAACUGAGUGCUUCCUUCUGGCUGCCAUGGCAUAUGAUCGCUUCGUGGCAAUCUGCAGCCCACUGCUUUAUUCCACCAAAAUGUCCACACGAGUUUAUGUUCAGUUACUCACAGUGGCUUAUGUAGGUGGUUUUCUCAAUGCUUGCUCUUUUACUGUUUGCUCCUAUUAUUUACUUUUCUGUGGACCAAAUUGAGUCAAUCAUUUUUUCUGUGAUUUUGCUCCUUUGGUUCAACUCUCCUGUUCUGAUAUCAGUAUCCCCACAGUUGUCCCCUCAUUUACAGCUGGCUCCAUCACUGUGGUCACGGUGAUUGUCAUAGCCAUCUCCUACAUCUACAUCCUCAUCACCAUUCUGAAGAUGCGCUCCACCGAGGGCCACCACAAGGCCUUCUCCACCUGCACGUCUCACCUCACAGUGGUCACUCUGUUCUAUGGGACCAUCACAUUCAUUUAUGUGAUGCCCAAGUCCAGCUUCUCAACUGAUCAGAACAAGGUGGUGUCUGUGUUCUACACGGUGGUGAUCCCCAUGUUGAACCCCCUCAUCUACAGCCUGAGGAACAGUGAGAUUAAUGAGGCUCUGAAGAGGGAGCUUUGUUAAAAACUUAACU
Molecule: non-coding RNA, 940 nt
Organism: Lipotes vexillifer (Yangtze River dolphin)
Lineage: Eukaryota; Metazoa; Chordata; Mammalia; Artiodactyla; Lipotidae
Source: RefSeq, a predicted model, not a curated record